CCUACGGGAGGCAGCAGUGAGGAAUUUUCCGCAAUGGGCGAAAGCCUGACGGAGCAAUGCCGCGUGAAGGAUGAAGGCCUAUGGGUUGUAAACUUCUUUUCUCAGAGAAGAAUUUUGACGGUAUCUGAGGAAUAAGCAUCGGCUAACUCUGUGCCAGCAGCCGCGGUAAGACAGAGGAUGCAAGCGUUAUCCGGAAUGAUUGGGCGUAAAGCGUCUGUAGGUGGUUUACCAAGUCUUUUGUCAAAGAUCAGGGCUUAACUCUGGGCAGGCAGGAGAAACUAGUAGACUAGAGUUCGGUAGGGGCAGAGGGAAUUCCCGGUGGAGCGGUGAAAUGCGUAGAUAUCGGGAGGAACACCAAAGGCGAAAGCACUCUGCUGGGCCGCAACUGACACUGAGAGACGAAAGCGAGGGGAGCAAAAGGGAUUAGAUACCCCUGUAGUCCUCGCCGUAAACGAUGGAUACUAGGUGUUGGGUAGAUUCAAAUCAUUCAGUACCGUAGCUAACGCGUGAAGUAUCCCGCCUGGGGAAGUAUGCUCGCAAGAGUAGAAACUUAAANGAAUUGUAGCGUGAGACGUGCGACGGACGACGACGAGGGAGGAGG
Molecule: ribosomal RNA, 601 nt
Filed under: uncultured bacterium
Lineage: Bacteria
Description: bacterial SSU rRNA
Rfam family: Bacterial small subunit ribosomal RNA
Source: RNAcentral